ACCUUCCAACACUGUCACAUUGGGGAUUUAGUUUACAGCAUAUGACCUUUGGGGAACACACUUAAACCAUAGUGCCAUCUUCAGUCUGAGAAGAAUUUCUGUCUUUCAUUGAAGUUCCAAAGGCUUCUUAUUUUGAUGACUUUGCCUAAAGAAGGGAUUCUACAGCCAAAUGCUUUCUUUUUAACAUACCGAAUGAGUAAAAGUGCAAAAUAAGUACAGAACUAUCAAACAGCAACAAAUGUGCUUCUGCUGCCUACCACAGAAUUUUCCUUGGUGAGAAGAAAACCCUACAUUACAUUUCUUUUUGGCUUCUGUCUCUGCAGCCUCAGAGUUGAUGACGAAUGCAGUCCUGCUCCACUUUGAUUCCAUCUGGCUCUGGAAGGUGUUUCUGAAGAUUUGUGAACAGCAUUUGGAUUUGUUUGUUUUUAUUUAUAUUGUCUUUUUACUAUGAUGUAUAAAUAUGUCCUGUAAUGUCAUUGAUUUAUAUCAUGAGUGAGACAAUCAAGUGUUAAAAUGGAACUUGUUGAUUAGGAUAUUUAUACCAUAGUUUGGUUUUCUUAAGAAACUCUGACAGACACGAUAUUUAAAAUGAUUAAAUUUACACUUUGAUAUAAGGCUACUAAAAGGUAGAAUAUACCAUUGAGAUAUGCCACUUGAAAAAACUACUUUUAAAAAAAUGGCAUUACUGGUGUCAUGAAGAAAAGAAAUGCUUUUAUCUCAACCCUGGUUUCAAAAAUUUGUGUAAAAACUUUUCACCUCAAUAAAUAGUUUACUUCCGUGUAGAAAA
Molecule: long non-coding RNA, 787 nt
Organism: Pan troglodytes (chimpanzee)
Lineage: Eukaryota; Metazoa; Chordata; Mammalia; Primates; Hominidae
Exons: 2
Source: RefSeq, a predicted model, not a curated record